This 253-nucleotide ribosomal RNA is filed under the name uncultured bacterium. RNAcentral's name for it is "partial 16S ribosomal RNA". It matches the Rfam family "Bacterial small subunit ribosomal RNA", at positions 524 to 776 of the family's 1533-position model. The record is from RNAcentral.
UACAGAGGUCUCAAGCGUUGUUCGGAUUCAUUGGGCGUAAAGGGUGCGUAGGCGGCGCGGUAAGUCGGGUGUGAAAUCUCGGAGCUUAACUCCGAAACUGCAUUCGAUACUGCCGUGCUUGAGGACUGGAGAGGAGACUGGAAUUUACGGUGUAGCGGUGAAAUGCGUAGAUAUCGUGAGGAACACCAGAGGCGAAGGCGGUUUCCUGGACAGUUACUGACGCUCAGGCACGAAAGCAUGGGGAGCAAAAGGG